Molecule: ribosomal RNA, 253 nt
Filed under: uncultured bacterium
Lineage: Bacteria
Description: partial 16S ribosomal RNA
Rfam family: Bacterial small subunit ribosomal RNA
Source: RNAcentral
UACAGAGGGUGCAAACGUUGUUCGGAAUUACUGGGCGUAAAGCGCGUGUAGGCUGCUCGGAAAGUCGGAUGUGAAAGCCCUGGGCUCAACCUAGGAAGUGCAUUCGAAACUUCCGAGCUGGAGUUCUGGAGAGGAAGGCGGAAUUCUCGGUGUAGAGGUGAAAUUCGUAGAUAUCGAGAGGAACACCGGUGGCGAAGGCGGCCUUCUGGACAGUGACUGACGCUGAGACGCGAAAGCGUGGGGAGCAAACAGG